Molecule: ribosomal RNA, 401 nt
Filed under: uncultured bacterium
Lineage: Bacteria
Description: bacterial SSU rRNA
Rfam family: Bacterial small subunit ribosomal RNA
Source: RNAcentral
AACGAACGCUGGCGGCGUGCUUAACACAUGCAAGUCGAACGUGAAAGACUUCGGUCGAGUAAAGUGGCGAACGGGUGAGUAACGCGUGGGUAAUCUGCCCUCGGGCGGGGGAUAACCUCUCGAAAGGGGGCUAAUACCGCAUGAGACCACGGCUUCUUGGAGCUGUGGGAAAAGGUGGGUCGCAAGACCAGCCACCUGAGGAUGAGCCCGCGUACCAUUAGGUAGUUGGUGGGGUAAUGGCCUACCAAGCCUGAGAUGGUUAGCUGGUCUGAGAGGACGAUCAGCCACACUGGGACUGAGACACGGCCCAGACUCCUACGGGAGGCAGCAGUGGGGAAUAUUGCGCAAUGGGGGAAACCCUGACGCAGCAACGCCGCGUGUGUGAAGAAGGCCUCGGUCGU